GCUCCUAGUACGAGAGGACCGGAGUGGACGAACCUCUGGUGUUCGGGUUGUGUCGCCAGACGCAUUGCCCGGUAGCUAAGUUCGGAAUUGAUAAGCGCUGAAAGCAUCUAAGCGCGAAGCGAGCCCUGAGAUGAGUCUUCCCUGACAGUUUAACUGUCCUAAAGGGUUGUUCGAGACUAGAACGUUGAUAGGCAGGGUGUGUAAGCGUUGUGAGGCGUUGAGCUAACCUGUACUAAUUGCCCGUGAGGCUUAACCAUACAACACCCAAGGGGUUUUGUA
RNAcentral lists this ribosomal RNA (279 nucleotides) under Vibrio cholerae. RNAcentral describes it as "partial 23S ribosomal RNA". It matches the Rfam family "Bacterial large subunit ribosomal RNA", at positions 2674 to 2925 of the family's 2925-position model. The record is from RNAcentral. Lineage: Bacteria; Pseudomonadati; Pseudomonadota; Gammaproteobacteria; Vibrionales; Vibrionaceae.